AGCAGCCGCGGUAAUUCCAGCUCCAAUAGCGUAUAUUAAAGUUGUUGCAGUUAAAAAGCUCGUAGUUGAAUUUCGGGGUUAGUAGGUUGGUCAUGCCUCUGGUAUGUACUGGUCUCACUGAUUCCUCCUUCCUGAUGAGCCGUAAUGCCAUUAAUUUGGUGUUGCGGGGAAUUUGGACUGUUACUUUGAAAAAAUUAGAGUGUUUAAAGCAAGCUAACGCUUGAAUACAUUAGCAUGGAAUAAUGAAAUAGGACGUUCGAUCCUAUUUUGUUGGUUUCUAGGAUUGACGUAAUGAUUAAUAGGGAUAGUUGGGGGCAUUAGUAUUCAAUUGUCAGAGGUGAAAUUCUUGGAUUUAUUGAAGACUAACUACUGCGAAAGCAUUUGCCAAGGAUGUUUUCAUUAAUCAAGAACGAAAGUUAGGGGAUCGAAGACGAUCAGAUACCGUCGUAGUCUAACCAUAAACUAUGCCGACUAGGGAUCGGAUGAUGUUAAUUUUUUAAUGACUCAUUCGGCGCCUUAC
RNAcentral lists this unclassified non-coding RNA (520 nucleotides) under uncultured Glomus. Its description in RNAcentral is "SSU rRNA". It matches the Rfam family "Eukaryotic small subunit ribosomal RNA", at positions 569 to 1091 of the family's 1831-position model. Lineage: Eukaryota; Fungi; Glomeromycota; Glomeromycetes; Glomerales; Glomeraceae. The record is from RNAcentral.